UACGAAGGGGCUAGCGUUGCUCGGAAUUACUGGGCGUAAAGGGAGCGUAGGCGGACAUUUAAGUCAGGGGUGAAAUCCCGGGGCUCAACCUCGGAAUUGCCUUUGAUACUGGGUGUCUUGAGUGUGAGAGAGGUGUGUGGAACUCCGAGUGUAGAGGUGAAAUUCGUAGAUAUUCGGAAGAACACCAGUGGCGAAGGCGACACACUGGCUCAUUACUGACGCUGAGGCUCGAAAGCGUGGGGAGCAAACAGGAUUAGAUAACCCCGUAGUCCCUGA
Molecule: ribosomal RNA, 276 nt
Filed under: uncultured prokaryote
Description: partial 16S ribosomal RNA
Rfam family: Bacterial small subunit ribosomal RNA
Source: RNAcentral